RNAcentral lists this long non-coding RNA (574 nucleotides) under Aplysia californica (California sea hare). RNAcentral's name for it is "uncharacterized LOC118478677, transcript variant X1". Lineage: Eukaryota; Metazoa; Mollusca; Gastropoda; Aplysiida; Aplysiidae. The record is from RNAcentral.
ACAGUUAUCGUGUCAUUGCGCUUUUUCGUAAUCAAACAAAACAAACAGACAAAGAAUUGCUGUGAUUGUGCUCUCUGUCGUUUUUCCCUCUUCUGUGAGAUCCGCCAAGAGGUGCAGUUUUUCUAAUUCCCGAAAUAACACUAAUGAACAUGAGUCAAUCGUGCUCGAGUCACAAGGGCUGAGCAAGCCAUCCUGGGAUAUAUUAUAUAUAUAACUUUUGUACGUGUCUUGGGAAAAGCCAGUGUGAGUCGCAGGAAAGUGUUCCUGGCUUGUCGUGUUCGUGAAUGCUGUUCCAACGGACACUUAAUAAAGAACAUCGUUGCGUCUGCGGACAGUUUCGUACUCGGAAUUCUUCGUGCUGAUUGAUUGUGGCCACUAAAUUCCUGACAGUAAAAAUACAUGACAGUUAAGCACACCUGACUUUUUUAUGCGUCUAUGCUUCGAGGAUACGGUUGACUUAUUCGACUCUGCAGGGCUGAACCCAUUUACAUUACAAAAACUGUUGUCCCCGAUGGAUAUGUUUUUCAGUGGAAAAGGAAAUUUGGAUUAAAACGAAGAUGGAAACUCAAGUAAA